GGUCGAUUGGUCUAGUGGUAUGACCGGAUCAGUCAAUUUGAUCUUAACCUGGGUUCGAAUCCCAGAUCGACUA
Molecule: transfer RNA, 73 nt
Filed under: Fusarium oxysporum f. sp. pisi HDV247
Lineage: Eukaryota; Fungi; Ascomycota; Sordariomycetes; Hypocreales; Nectriaceae
Also listed under: 1 other name
Description: tRNA-Leu (CAA) (tRNA-Leu-CAA-5-1)
Rfam family: tRNA
About the family: Transfer RNA (tRNA) molecules are approximately 80 nucleotides in length. Their secondary structure includes four short double-helical elements and three loops (D, anti-codon, and T loops). Further hydrogen bonds mediate the characteristic L-shaped molecular structure. tRNAs have two regions of fundamental functional importance: the anti-codon, which is responsible for specific mRNA codon recognition, and the 3' end, to which the tRNAs corresponding amino acid is attached (by aminoacyl-tRNA synthetases). tRNAs cope with the degeneracy of the genetic code in two manners: having more than one tRNA (with a specific anti-codon) for a particular amino acid; and 'wobble' base-pairing, i.e. permitting non-standard base-pairing at the 3rd anti-codon position.
Source: RNAcentral